Cebus imitator (Panamanian white-faced capuchin) is the source of this 107-nucleotide unclassified non-coding RNA. It matches the Rfam family "Y RNA". From Rfam's summary of the family: Y RNAs are components of the Ro ribonucleoprotein particle (Ro RNP), in association with Ro60 and La proteins. The Y RNAs and Ro60 and La proteins are well conserved, but the function of the Ro RNP is not known. In humans the RNA component can be one of four small RNAs -- hY1, hY3, hY4 and hY5. The record is from Ensembl. Lineage: Eukaryota; Metazoa; Chordata; Mammalia; Primates; Cebidae.
GGACAGUCAUGACUGUAAACAGUGGUGCUUACAAUGAAUUGAUCACAACCAGUUACAGAUUUAUUUGUUCCUUCUCCAUUCCCACUGCUUUACUUGACUGGCCUUAA